CCUGCAGCGACUAUACUCACCUAUCCCUCAUCACCCCAUCCACCAAUGACACUUAGAAAAAAGCCUCAUCUGCUGGGCUUAAUGGUCAGACUUCCUCUGCCUGCAAUGCCGCAGAGACCACACGAACCUGGGCGCACUAUCUAGGCAGCGGACUAUGGACUAAUCUCUGUUGUUUUAAUCAAUACAUGGCCUCUACAUUAAAAGUUAUCCUUUCAG
RNAcentral lists this long non-coding RNA (216 nucleotides) under Rattus norvegicus (Norway rat). Its description in RNAcentral is "long non-coding RNA NONRATT003408". Lineage: Eukaryota; Metazoa; Chordata; Mammalia; Rodentia; Muridae. The record is from RNAcentral.